Molecule: long non-coding RNA, 7059 nt
Filed under: Homo sapiens (human)
Lineage: Eukaryota; Metazoa; Chordata; Mammalia; Primates; Hominidae
Description: non-protein coding ATP6V0E2-AS1:14
Source: RNAcentral
ACUCGCUGAUUGGCUGAGCAGGGCCGCGGACAGAGAGAAAUGCCGAGGAAUAGGGGCGCGGCCGCCCGGUUUCGGCGAUGGGUUAUAGGGUCCGCGUCAGCCCCGCGCCCGCACAGCCAACGUCACGCCGCAUUCUUAUUUCCAAAGACCCCUGGAGCUUGGGGUCCCACCCCAGCGGUCUUUCGGGGCGUCCCCUGCCCUUCACGCGCCGCGCCGGCUCGGCCCGAAGCGCCCUGCGGACCCGCAGCCUGGGCCGCCCCGAACCUGACGGCCCCGCGGGGGUCGGACGCGGGAGGAACGGCCUCGCUUUCAGAGACGCAGCGGGAGGGCGGUCCCCGCUGUCCCUCUGGCCGGGUCCUCAGCACGCGUUCUCCUCACUCCCAGGACUAGCGAGCGGCGGGCGCGGACCGGGGCCUGGGGUCGGAGGCGGCGCAGCCAGAAAGGCCCCAGCGGCGCUGAGACGUUUGGGGGAAGGCGGGGGCUUCGCGUUUCGAUGGCGGGAAGCGGAAUGAGGUUGGACCGGCCGGGCCGGCGUUCAGGGACCCGGCGGGAGGCGGAGGGCUGGCGUCCUCGCGGACAUCCAUCUGCAGCGAACCAGGCAGAGGCUUUGGGAUUAGAUCCUUGACUCCUUGCGUCAGUAGUUAAGCUUUGUGAUGGUCUGAGGUCCAUGAAGGGAUUAAAACCAGGAACUGGCUCCUUCUCCAACCACUAAAGCCUCAUCUGGGCCCACAAGCCCUGGCUGUUCCCUGGAGCGUGACUGGAAGAUGUGAGCAGCUUUGUGCUGGAGCCCCAUUUCCAUGGUGCAUGCUGCUGCCAAACCAGAGAUCACUUGUAGACUUGAAAGGGAACAUGAGCUUUGGGUGAAGGAUUCCCAGCCCCCAACAGAGGCCAAAAAGCUACCACCCAGCCAGGCAGAAGGAACAUAAAGUAUGCAUUUUAUGAUACGACUCAGCUUGGAGGGAUGAAGUAGAAGGUCCUCACUGCACCUCAUGGCAGGCUGCUGACGGCAGAUAUUUUACCGGGCUCACUGAACUGGGCAGUCAGGGAAGGGUCGGCUCCUGCUCUGUCCAGCUGUCUUCAUAAGGGACUCUGUGACACUUUUUAUAAAAAUGACUUUGAUUUCUGCAUAAGAAGGCUUCCCAAGCUUGCUGUCUAGCAGUGGCUGCUACAGGGAAUUAUUCACAUGGCAGCAAGAGAGCCCUGGCUCCCUGGACCAGGACAUUCCCUUUGUGUGUGUUGGAAUGAGAGCAGGAGGAGUGCUGGUCAGAAGCCCCUCCCCAGGGCUCUGGGACUUCAGUGUUCUCAGACAAACUGGGCCGCUCCUCUGAGCUGGGAUGCUGACCCACACUUGGCCCCGGCUCUGGCAUCCACAGGACGCUGCCUUAUCCGUCAUCUCGCUGGGGCUGGGGGCUAGAGGCUGAGCAGGUCACACUGAACAAAAGAAGUGUGUCCCCAUCACUAGGCUAACAUCUGAGUUUCUUCCACAGUAUUUGGUAACACAGUCAGAAACAAGACUGAAGAUGAUUCUGGAGGCAACUGGGAACCCCCCAGAACGAUUCUGCAGGCUUCUGGGAAGCUGAAAAACCCCAAGGCCAGACUGGCCUCAGAAUGCCUGAGUCCUUUUGAUUCCACUGGAAAAGCCAUCCAUCUGUGCCAAGUGUGUGGAGAGCUUCAAGAGCCAUAUAGCCCUGGCCACCAUGAGCACAGCCACGUGGGGGAGUAGUCCUGAAAGUGUCCUGGUGUGGCAAAGGCUUUCCACUAAGUGGACCUCAGAUGGCACAGGAAGACCCUCCUGGGGAUGUGGGAGGACACUGCCUAGUGGGUGAGGGGCCGCUCUUUCAGGUGUGCACACUAAAUGCAGAGACAGCCUCUCCUGGCUGCCAAGAAGCCUGUGCAUGAUCCAGGACCACAAAACACUUGCAAACUCACUGCCCAGAGGCCCUGUGCCUGUCUGGAGUGUGCCCAGUGUGUCUGCGCCCCACAGCUUGUCCUGGCCCGCCAGCAGAGCCGCAGCACUGCAGGGCCCUUCUGUUGUGAGUGCCAGGGCCCUUGCUGGCUGCCUGAGCAAGGCAAAAGGUUCAAAACAGGAAGUCUCUGGGCAGCUAUUCCCAGGUGCAGAGGGGAGCAGCGGCCACACAGGUGCCAGUGUGGCAGGAGCUGCAGUCAGAGGCAGCAUCUCAAGAGCCCUGGGAGCAGGGGCCAGCCACGUGAAGCCCACGAGUGUCGCUGGCACAGGGAAGGGACACGAGGAUCACACUGACCCAAGAGAAGGCCCACAGUGAGGAGGCCCCACCGAAGCAUCCCCAGCAACAGGGACUGAGGCAUCUGAGGCAGCCAGCCCACUCGGAAAGGCCUGCUGACUGCACUCCAGAUGUCAAGAGCACCCUUGGGAAAAAGAAAGGCAGGAGUGCAGCACUUUCUAGAGCCUCAGCUCACUUCUCUCCUUCUAGCUCCAGCCGGAGUGAUGGAAGAGGCUGCGCUGGGAGCUGCCUCCCUGGGAGCCUACCCUGCCCAGCCUGAGAGUGGAGGCUACCAGCAUCACGCUUCCCCUAGUGAAAUCCAUCUGUCCUGAAGGGAACCCUGGGACGGGGUCAAGGAAACCCUGUUCACCCCCACCACGGGGUCAGGUCUUCACCAAAGGGAGGCCGCACGGAUUCCCAGUCGCAAACCCAAAGCCUUGCUGCCUUUGCCUCUGUUUCCAUAGUUGUUUCAAUGUCUUUUUUAAAAAUCACAUACACUCGAGUAAGACUGAGUCUCCUCACCGAAGAGAUCUGGCUGUAUCCCGAGUCUCUGAAACCUUUGCUCCAGUCCCGUGGGAGCGUGCCGUCCCGAGGAUGUGGAGCCGCAAGGGCUCGCCAGAGGGAUCUCAGGAGCUAGGCCUCAAGGAGCGCUGUUGAGUGACAGGUCUGAUGCAGUAGCUUUUACUAUUGGUGGAAAUCGAUGUUUUUUCCUUGAAAGUCUACCUUUCUAAGUUCAGUAAACCAAAUUAGAUCAUGUAUGUGAAAGCACUUUGUAAACUAUGCAGUACUCCAGAAAAGGCAGCCAAGCCCUUAAUUAUAACUCACCAAACAGCCAACUCUCAUCUUUACCUUCUAACUGGCAAAAAUGAUUGAGCUCACUUUGAAGGACUAGAGAGGAAAGAAACUGAAAGACAAAAAUCAGGUGAAUACACAGGCACUUCCCCUGCCCACCUCUGUUCCUGGCCCUGUCCCCUCGUGAGUGAGAGCAGAGCUCGUUCUGUCAGCUUCUCUGAGCUCCUGGUCCUCGCUUAGGGACACACAAGACAGAGAUGUGUUGAAAUAGACUCUGCUUUAUUCAGGUAGCAAAAGGUUAGGAAUCAAACAUGGUUUUUAAAACCUCCUUUCAUCUUUGAAAAUAGAGGAGAGAACAUCCCUGGGCCAGUCACAGUUACUGUAUUUGGCUAAGCACACACCUGUAUGAGGGACCCGCCCCUCCACACUGUUCUGAUAGGUACUUAGCACCCUAGAAACUCAUCCUCUGCAGGAGAGAGAAGCAAGGGUCUGGAGCGCGGUCACAUACUCUAAGGUAUCUUCCAGGACAGGGGGCUGGGCUCCCUCACUCCCACCUGGAGUCGCUAUGGCUAUUGGGAUCAAACUACCAGUUACAUACUGGUUACUUGGAAUGUCAGACCCGGUGGGUAUCAGUCAUCAGGGAGAGGGAGGGGAAAUGCCAGGACACGUACAUACGGAUGCUGUCAAGACUACAGGCAAGGAGGAGGGUGGCGACAAGCGCUGGGACUCCAGCCAAAGCGGGAGUGCAUGCUUCUUCCCCUCCCAGAGCCCUGUGGUUUUUCUUCUUGUGAGGCAUAAACAGGAAGCCUCUCCAACAAGGGGGUCUCCAGCACUAGGGGCUGAAACUCAGCCAGCCUCUCCAAACAAAGCAAAGGGGCCAGCCUGGGCCAGGGCCUCUGAUAAGGAUGCUCACUGUGUUUCCACGGGGGUCCUGAAUGAGGAAGUUCAGGAAUAAGAUGGCAGUCAUCUUCUUCCUUCUUGGCCAUUGGCUGACAAAGGGGAACGGAGCAGGCCUGUGCCCCUUGAGAAAUCGGGUAGUGCAAAUUUUAUGACAAACAGCAUUCUCAGUGGCCCCGCUGCACAGGGACCCCCCUUUCCCACCACCUAAGGAAGGCACUGGCCGGUGUCCUCGGAGCACGCUGAUGCUGACGUGGAGAGGGCGAGUUGCUUCCCCUAGCUUCCACCUCAGCUCCAGAACUACUCCCACAGAGACCCACUCACGGCUGCUCACAGGAUGGCCUCCUGCUCUGAGGGAUUCUUCAAGGAUGAAGAGGCCGCAGGAAGCAUGUGUGCUGGAACAGCACCUUGAUGUGGAAUCCCUGUGGGUAGGGCAGAGGCUAUAGCCCCACCUAAAAAAGCCUUUCUCCCUCCCUUUCCACGAGUUCACAUCCACAGUGCCUGACCUGGGCAAGUUCCUGAACGCCCAUGGAGACGGUGAUGGGGAGAAGGAGGCCUGUGUGUGCCUUAGCCACGCAGAUAGUAACACCUCCCAGAGCUCCCGCACCACAGGCCUGUGGGGUCCCUCUGACCGCCAGACCCACAGGGCUGGGAGACAUUUCCACAGGUCAAAGGCAGAAAGCAAGAAAGGAAUUCCUGACUAGAACUGAAAAUGACACGAAAGCAACAGUGCUAAGGCUAAGUACUGGGGUGGGGAUGAAAGGGCAGGUGGGGUACCAGGGUACCUGCGGUACCAGGGAGGGGCUCGGACGCCAGCAUCUACCCUGGGAAUGGGAAGGGUACUCAGACAGCAGCUUCUACCCUGGGAAUAGGAAGGGUACUCAGGUGCUCAGAUGCCAGCAUCUACCCUGGGAAUGGGAAGGGUACUCAGACAGCAGCUUCUACCCUGGGAAUAGGAAGGGUACUCAGGUGCUCAGAUGCCAGCAUCUACCCUGGGAAUGGGAAGCGGCAGACUAUGGAGAAAGGGCCCACCCACAGGGGCCUGCAGCACAGCACAGGACCUGCCUGAGCCAGGCAGCAAGCAAGCUGGGAUGGAUGGCGCCCACUUCCUGCCUGUUUAAAACAAGUAUCAGGCAGGGCAGAGAAACCCUGCCUGCUGACUUGCCUCAUUUCCUGCCCAUGGUUAAGGAAGGCAGAACCUAGACAAAAUCAUCCUCCUCCUGAUAAGCGGCCUCCUGAGCCUGCCAAGACGGAGCUGCCCUUGGAAGGAAAAGUGCUUCACUUUAGGUGGAAGGAAGAUCGGGGCGAGGAGGGUGUGAACCUAGCAGUGCCAGAAGCCCCUCUGUGCCUCUAGGGCGGUGGUUCUGUGGUUCUGAAGCUAGAGCAGGCCCAAAGUCCCUGGAGGAGGUUGUUCAAAGCCCUUGUCACUGAGCGCCCAUUCGGGGAUGUCUCAGUGGGCCCUGGAGAUCCUGGUGCAGAGUCCCCAGGGCAGCUCAGAGAAGAGUGGACUAGCCUGUCGUGCAGAUGGUGCAUUCAGAGAGCAACUCCUACAACAAGGACUUUGGAGACAAAUUCCUACCUGUCCCACUAAGGACGAGGAUGGGGCAGAUGGCAGCUAAGUCCACACUGCAGCCAGAGGUCUUUGAGGGAGCUCGAGGCUCUCAUUCACUAAUCCUAGGGCAGAUGGGGAGUCAGCAGGCACUUGGAUCUCUGCUGCCACUUCAUGGAGAGGGAAACUGAGGCACAAAGAGGAAGGGAUUAAUCAGACCACUGCCUGCAGCAGAGCUGGGGCUGCAUCCCAAGCCUCCCAACUCCAACUUCGUCCCAUCCUCUCCUGGGUAAACCGGGCCGGGCAUGCCACGGGUUAAACGCGGCUCGGCUCUCCGGGAAGCACCAGACCCCCUGCCAGAAGAGCCCAGCUCCACCAUCUGGAGCUGCAGGAAGAGAACUUUCUUGGGUGCUCUGUGCAAAGGGCUUGUGAUUGUUUCGCCCUAAAGGAAGCCCUGGGAAGAGGUAGAGUUCCGCACGAGACCACGGCCUCACUGCUUCUGCUGUGGGAGCCAGGGUAGGAAGUCCCAGAACAAUGCCUCUGGGGGCUCUUGCAGCCAGGCCAGCUGUCCCUAGAGCAGGGGCAACCUCCCCCUCUAACAAGGUGGUCUUUCCCAUUCCCACUUAGACUGUGGGCAGCCUCCCUGGAACAUUCCCCAGGGAUGUCCAACAGUCUCCCCUACCAGGACACUCCUCUUGCCACCAAAACUCAGGGGCUGAAACCUUUCAUGAUGGGGUUAUUUUCUGCAGCACCUUAAAAAUGAACUUGAGAUAUAGAACCUUCUGGCACAUUUGUGUGCUGUGAGGCAUGGCUGUGCUGAGUGGGGCCUCAGGAAACAGGUCAUGCACCUCCUGAUACCCCUGCUGCUCUGGGAUGCCACUGCCCACUUCCUGGUGCUUAGAGACCAUCGCCACCAGCAGAAGAUCCUAGGGCAGCCUAGAAUCUGCAGAGCCUGUCCCAGUGAUCACAGAGGCGUCUCCAAGGCAGUCCCAAGGACUCCCUGUCCCUCAGGACAUCCCGGGGGCCUCCUGGCUGGUGUGGGGAUACAGGAGUCUCUCGGGAGGCUCCAUGAUGCAGUCCUUCAGAACCUCCGCUGCUUCCCUGGAGGGCAGGAUGGGUGGCUUCUGGGUCCUGGGCUCCUCCACAUAGAGGGCUCCCAUCUCCUCCUUCCUGAGCCUGGCGCCUGUGAGGGAGGAAGGAGAAUACAAUUAGACUGACUGACAGUGACCGCCUUCCACAUCCAGCUUCGCCCAGGGGCUGUUUGGUGAGGAAAGCUUGGCAGAACAGACUGAAGUCAGGACCACGACUGCUCUUUGCAGCCCUCAUCUGUUGCUACUCUGUUCAUUCUUUUAUCCUGAGAUAGGGGAUCUCAACUGGGGGCGAUUUUGUCCCCCAGGGGCCAUUUGCCAAUGUCUGGAGAUGAUUUUUGUGGUCACAAAUGGGGUGUGUGCUACUGGUAUCCAGUGGUUAUCUAAUAGGUAGAGGCCAUGGAUGCUGCUCAAGUUCCCACAGUGAACAGGAAGGGCCCCCAACAGAGAUUACCCAGCCCCAGCAUCAACAAUGCCAAGGCUGAGAGCCCUG